This 386-nucleotide unclassified non-coding RNA is filed under the name fungal sp. RNAcentral's name for it is "partial internal transcribed spacer region". The stretch from base 1 to 46 matches the Rfam family "Eukaryotic small subunit ribosomal RNA", at positions 1786 to 1831 of the family's 1831-position model. The record is from RNAcentral. Lineage: Eukaryota; Fungi.
AAGUCGUAACAAGGUUUCCGUAGGUGAACCUGCGGAAGGAUCAUUAACACGUAUCCACGUAUCAACCAAUGAGAACCUGUUUUCCCGUCUCCCUGUGCAAAGAAUGAAUUGGAACCAGUUUGAGGGAGUGAUGGGACCGAAAGGCCGGCCUUCCUGGUAUACUUAUGUAAAUAGAAAUGUUUGCAUAGACAAUUGUAUUUUUGUUACAGGCUAUUUCUUAUCGCUUUGAUCCCCAUCAUGAUCGUGGCGGUAGGGAAACUUUCACUAUAUUUACCUUUUUUGCUAGUUGACUUUUUAUAUGUGUUGUCUUGCGAAAGCAUGGUGGCACACGUUUAUUAAUUGAACGUUAAAAAAUACAACUCUUAGCAAUGGAUAUCUUGGUUCUC